GACGAACGCUGGCGGCGUGCCUAAUACAUGCAAGUUGAGCGAUGAAGAUUGGUGCUUGCACCAAUUUGAAGAGCAGCGAACGGGUGAGUAACGCGUGGGGAAUCUGCCUUUGAGCGGGGGACAACAUUUGGAAACGAAUGCUAAUACCGCAUAACAACUUUAAACAUAAGUUUUAAGUUUGAAAGAUGCAAUUGCAUCACUCAAAGAUGAUCCCGCGUUGUAUUAGCUAGUUGGUGAGGUAAAGGCUCACCAAGGCGAUGAUACAUAGCCGACCUGAGAGGGUGAGCGGCCACAUUGGGACUGAGACACGGCCCAAACUCCUACGGGAGGCAGCGGUAGGGAAUCUUCGGCAAUAGACGAAAGUCUGACCGAGCAACGCCGCGUGAGUGAAGAAGGUUUUCGGAUCGUAAAACUCUGUUGGUAGAGAAGAACGUUGGUGAGAGUGGAAAGCUCAUCAAGUGACGGUAACUACCCAGAAAGGGACGGCUAACUACGUG
Molecule: ribosomal RNA, 497 nt
Filed under: uncultured bacterium
Lineage: Bacteria
Description: partial 16S ribosomal RNA
Rfam family: Bacterial small subunit ribosomal RNA
Source: RNAcentral